This is a non-coding RNA of Oryza glumipatula, 206 nucleotides long. The record is from Rfam. Lineage: Eukaryota; Viridiplantae; Streptophyta; Magnoliopsida; Poales; Poaceae.
AAAGAAUUAAUUCCUAAGUUUCUGUGUCUAACGUUUGACUAUCUAUUUUAUAUGAAUUUUUUUUAUAAUUAUUAUUUUCAUUGUUGUUAGAUGAUAAAACAUGAAUAAUACUUUACGAGUGGCUUAUCUUUUUAAAUUUUUUUAUAAUUUUUUUAAAUAAGACGGACGGUCAAACGUUGGACACGGAAACCAGGAAUUGAGUUAUU